RNAcentral lists this ribosomal RNA (461 nucleotides) under uncultured bacterium. RNAcentral describes it as "bacterial SSU rRNA". It matches the Rfam family "Bacterial small subunit ribosomal RNA", at positions 28 to 507 of the family's 1533-position model. The record is from RNAcentral.
GACGAACGCUGGCGGCGUGCCUAACACAUGCAAGUCGAACGGAGUGAUUUCUUCGGAGAUCACUUAGUGGCGGACGGGUGAGUAACGCGUGAGAAACCUGCCUUUCAGUGGGGGACAACAGUUGGAAACGACUGCUAAUACCGCAUAAUGUUAUUUGGGGGCAUCCCCGAAUAACCAAAGAUUUAUUGCUGAAAGAUGGUCUCGCGUCUGAUUAGCUAGUUGGUGAGGUAACGGCUCACCAAGGCGACGAUCAGUAGCCGGUCUGAGAGGAUGAACGGCCACAUUGGGACUGAGAUACGGCCCAGACUCCUACGGGAGGCAGCAGUCGGGAAUAUUGCGCAAUGGAGGAAAGUCUGACCCAGCAACGCCGCGUGAAGGAAGAAGGCUUUCGGGUUGUAAACUCUUUUAAGUGGGAAGAGUAGAAGACGGUACCACUUGAAUAAGCCACGGCUAACUACGUG